This 19-nucleotide microRNA is filed under the name Homo sapiens (human). Its description in RNAcentral is "hsa-miR-6776-5p". The record is from miRBase by way of RNAcentral. Lineage: Eukaryota; Metazoa; Chordata; Mammalia; Primates; Hominidae.
UCUGGGUGCAGUGGGGGUU